UAUUCUGGUGUUCUCGGCGUAUAGGAACCACACCAUCCAUAAAUCCAACUUGGUUGUUAAACUUUACUGCGGUGAAAAUACUAUAGGGGGGACUCUAUGGAAAAAUAGCUCAAUGCCA
This 118-nucleotide ribosomal RNA is filed under the name Monotropa uniflora (ghost pipe). Lineage: Eukaryota; Viridiplantae; Streptophyta; Magnoliopsida; Ericales; Ericaceae. The record is from RNAcentral.